This 1471-nucleotide ribosomal RNA is filed under the name uncultured Bordetella sp. Its description in RNAcentral is "partial 16S-23S ribosomal RNA intergenic spacer". It matches the Rfam family "Bacterial small subunit ribosomal RNA". Lineage: Bacteria; Pseudomonadati; Pseudomonadota; Betaproteobacteria; Burkholderiales; Alcaligenaceae. The record is from RNAcentral.
GGUUUGAUUCUGGCUCAGAUUGAACGCUGGCGGGAUGCUUUACAUGCAAGUCGAACGGCAGCACGGACUUCGGUCUGGUGGCGAGUGGCGAACAGGUGGUAAUGUAUCGGAACGUGCCUAGUAGCGAGGAUAACCGCGAAAGCGUAGCUAAUGCCACAUACGCCCUUCGGGGGAAAGCGGGGACCUUCGGGCCUCGCACUAUUAGAGCGGCCGAUAUCGGAUUGGCUAGUUGGUGGGAGUAACGGCUCACCAAGGCGACGAUCCGUAGCUGGUUUGAGGAGAGGACGACCAGCCACACUGGGACUGAGACACGGUCAGACUCCUACGGGAGGCAGCAGUGGGGAAUUUUGGACAAUGGGGAAACCACAGUCCAGCCAUCCCGCGUGUGUGAUGAAGGCCUUCGGGUUGUAAAGCACUUUUGGCAGGAAAGAAACGGCACGGGAUAAUACGUGCAACUGACGGUACCUGCAGAAUAAGCACAAACAACUACGUGCAGCCGCGGUAUUGGCGAGGGUGCAAGCGUUAAUCGGAAUUACUGGGCGCCAGCGUCCGCAGGCGGUUCGGAAGAAAGAUGUGAAAUCCCAGAGCUUAACUUUGGAACUGCAUUUUUAACCACCGAGCUAGAGUGUGUCAGAGGGAGGUGGAAUUCCGCGUGUAGCGAUGAAAUGCGUAGAUAUGCGGAGGAACACCGAUGGCGAAGGCAGCCUCCUAGAGGAUAACACUGACGCUCAUGCACACGAAAGCGUGGGGAGCAAACAGGAUUAGAUACCCUGGUAGUCCACGCCCUAAACGAUGUCAACUAGCACAGUAGAGGCCUUCGGGCCUUGGUAGCGCAACUAACAUGUGCGUUGACCGCCUGAGGAAGUACGGUCGCAAGAUUAAAACUCAAAGGAAUUGACGGGGACCACAAGCCGAUGGAUGUGGUGGUUAAUUCGAUGCAACGCGAAAAACCUUACCUACCCUUGACAUGUCUGGAAUCCCGAAGAGAUUUGGGAGUGCUCGCAAGAGAACCGGAACACAGGUGCUGCAUGGCUGUCGUCCAGCUCGUGUCGUGAGAUGUUGGGUUAAGUCCCGCAACGAGCGCAACCCUUGUCAUUAGUUGCUACGAAAGGGCACUCCUAAUGAGACUGCCGGUGACAAACCGGAGGAAGGUGGGGAUGACGUCAAGUCCUCAUGGCCCUUAUGGGUGAGACCACACGUCAUACAAUGGUCGGGACAGAGGGUCGCACAGCCCGCGAAGGGGAGCCAAUCGAAACCCGAUCGUAGUCCGGAUCGCAGUCUGCAACUCGACUGCGCUGAAGUCGAAUCGCUAGUAAUCGCGGAUCAGCAUGUCGCGGUGAAUACGUUCCCGGGUCUUGUACACCGCCCGUCACACCAUGGGAGUGGGUUUUACCAGAAGUAGUUAGCCUAACCGCAGGAGGGCGAUUACCACGGUAGGAUUCAUGACUGGGGUGAAGUCGUAACAAGGUAG